RNAcentral lists this ribosomal RNA (261 nucleotides) under uncultured Enterococcaceae bacterium. RNAcentral's name for it is "partial 16S ribosomal RNA". It matches the Rfam family "Bacterial small subunit ribosomal RNA", at positions 524 to 784 of the family's 1533-position model. The record is from RNAcentral. Lineage: Bacteria; Bacillati; Bacillota; Bacilli; Lactobacillales; Enterococcaceae.
UACGUAGGUGGCAAGCGUUGUCCGGAUUUAUUGGGCGUAAAGCGAGCGCAGGCGGUUUCUUAAGUCUGAUGUGAAAGCCCCCGGCUCAACCGGGGAGGGUCAUUGGAAACUGGGAGACUUGAGUGCAGAAGAGGAGAGUGGAAUUCCAUGUGUAGCGGUGAAAUGCGUAGAUAUAUGGAGGAACACCAGUGGCGAAGGCGGCUCUCUGGUCUGUAACUGACGCUGAGGCUCGAAAGCGUGGGGAGCAAACAGGAUUAGAUA